UGGGCCGAAAUAAAGGUUUCGGCCCACCACCCUUUCCGGUCCGCGAAGCGAGGACGUGAGGCGCGGGGGUGGCAGCCCAUUAGCAUGGCACUGGCGUGUCCCAUGCGUGGGUGGCAAAUGGGCUGGCCUGGCUUAAGGGAGGGGAGGAGGGUUCGGUUAGGCAAACCCUAACCCUUCCUCCCCUUCAAGCCACCUCCGCCACCUAGCUCGGGAGGGCGCAGCGCCGUCAUCGCCCUCAGCCAAGGCCGCCCCGUCGGGCACCGGCGUGGCUGGGGCCGGCCGCCGCAGCCGAGGCUGCUGCCUCGGACGUCGCUGCCAUCGGGCUGCCGCCACCACCGCUGAGGAUGCCGCUGAGGACGCCACCCACGCCGCCGGGCAGCCGCCGACGCCGUGGUGACGCUAAUGCCGCUACCGCCGCCACCCUGCACCCUCCCCCCACCUCCUGGACCCUUCACUGCCCUUGCUCAGGCCUCCCCCUCACCCUAGGGUGGGGGACGGCUAGACUUGCCGCCGCCGCUUGUCUUGGCCGGGACAUGCCCGGUCUUGAUGACACGACAGGGGUCGGGGAACGGAGGGGCCGGUGGAGGGGCAGAGUUCUCGCCGGAGCCCCCUGCUGCCAUGUAGAAUGGCGGGGCUCCGCGACAUGCAGCGAGGGUUCCUUUGAGGAGGAACUCCGGCGGAUUAGCCGGUGUCAGUGUGUGCAACGGCGUCUCCAGCGAAUAGUCCGGCGAUGGUGAUCGAGAAAUGGCGCGGCGAAGAUGCUGGGUCCAACCGUGAUGAGGACAGAAGGCCGUCACCAUGUCGGGCAGCUCCUGCUGCGGCCGCACCCUCGCUGUCCACCCAUGGGAUUCACGGUGAUGCGGGGACUCCACCAGAAUCCUUUCUGGUGCAGUGCACAUGUCGGGCACCACCAGAGGCCCUUGGUGAGUUGCGAGGGUGCUGGAGUAGGUGUUGUCGGCUCCGGUGUUCCUUCGGGCAGCAGCGCCGCUGCUGUGGCGUCAUCCUUCACGUCCAGCGAAGCCAAGGGGAGGAGAUGGGGGGCCACGGCCCCUGCCGCAUCGAGCACGACGCACUGGAGCCCGAAGGAUCCUCUCAAGCUGAUGCAUGAGUUGACGGAGACGACGGGCACGGAUGUUGCGAGGAAGGGAAGAACCGGCAUCGAGAGAAACAUUGGAACCGUGGUUCCUAGGCCCCAUCUAUUAUGGGCCGGGCAACACUACUAUCAGCCACUCCAUCUUGAUCGUGGGCUACGACGUCGACGACCUGGGAGACCUUUACUGGGUCGUCAAGAACUCAUGGGGUAAACAGUGGGGCGAUCAGGUACAUCUUCAUCAGCGCCGCGGCCAACGACGGGAUCGUUAGCCAGUCAGGGGUCGCCGGCAUCCUCACCAGUGCGAUAUAUGUUCAGUAGCUGUGCUGGUGCUACUGGAAUUUGGAGACCAAGGAGUGCCCAACGUGAAAAUAAAUAAAUAAAUAAGAAGAAAGAGAAACAGGUCAGAAAAGAAAAACGGGUGUUUGAUACAGCUUCUGUGAGCAGUGAUUAUCUGAAAAUCAAGCUGUCCUGAGAAUCUGCUAGCUGGAGAAGUUAUGAAUUUGGCAACUUGAUUUUUUUUUUUUGGUGUGUGAUUGUCUGCUAAGGGUACAAUGACAUGUAUGUCCUUGAAGCUUGAUAAGUUAUCUGCACCAAUGUUUAAUAUUACAAUAUGACAUUUCUCUCUUAAAAAUCGUAUCUGCACAUGUACACAGGCUGAAACGAAUUGAUUCAACAUUGAACUGAACGAAAACAUCGCAAAAUAAUGCUUAGGAAGAAAUCUCAUACUGUGUACGCACACAAUUUUGCAUCGAGGAAAAAUUACUCCUAAACAGCAGAAGCAUACAACAUACGCACUAAUCAAUUUUGCAUCGAUACAGUGAAGGAGCAGAUGCCUCCCACAAUGUAGAAUUACUGCUCGGGGAGGUUACUGUAUAUCCUGUCCAAAGACCCUGCAAACACAUGAUCCUUUAGGUGAAACAAAAACAACACAACUUUUGAGAAUUAAAAAUGAGAUCAAUAUUAUAAACCCUCUUACAUGUAGUAACUUAGUUGCAUAGGAAAAAUUCUUUUGACACAUGACAAAAUUGAGCCCACCUAGCUAGUAUGUUUUCCCAUGCAUAUGUGACUAAAGAAAAUAUUGUUGAAAUGUCACAUGGUUCCUUUUACACUUGGCAAAAUUUCUGCUGAGAAUGUUUCUAAAAGAUGAGAGAUUAGGCUGCUGUUUUAGCUUCUGUCAUCAUUUCGUAAAAACUAAUAGCUGAUCGCGACCUGAACCACAAGUCACCAAAUAGUCAGAUUUAGGAACUGCAAAUGAAAUUAUCAGUUACUUCGUAGGGAAAUUCAGUUAGUUGUAGUGUUGCUUCCCAAACUUUGCUGCAAAACUGAAACAUUAUGCACUGCUUAACACAACUGGUACUAACAUUGUUGAUUAUCCAUAUGAGUGUCCCUCACAUUGUUGUAUACUAGUUGCAUAACAGUACAAGCCAUUCAUUCACAGUAAAACACAGCUGCCCCAACUUCGACCUGAAGUUCAUUCGCAGUAAAACAGCUGCCCCAACUCAGGGGUGGGCCCUAUAUACGAGUAGUUCUUUUUUUUUUCAAAAGCGUGCUUUAGUACGUGCUUGUGCUUCAUUAAGUGGAAUAAGGAGGCUUUACAAACUCGAUCUAUGCUAAAUCGUGUAUGAGCUUAUAUGGAUUUAAUUGUACUACUUCUCUAUCAUUAGGUUUGCCCAAGCUCAUCCGCCGCUCCCCCCUCCCCUCCUCUUCCUCUCCAUCUUUUCCCCCUUCUCCUCCCUCACAACUCCAUGGAGACCAGCGGGGUAGUAGUUGGGGCUCGCCUCCCCCCUCCCGCUAGCUCCGCCGCUGGCCGUGCCUAACACGGAGGGCACAUAACAUAAAUCGCCCACAGCCUCAUCAUGGCCACCCACUCCCGGCCUCGUUGAUUUCUCGUCUUUGCGCGUUGGGCCGUCGACUUCGUGUUGUCUGGCCACUGAUCCAUCGCCACCUGAUUCCCCUCCAUUGCUGCUGGAGCUCCACCUGCAGCGUCCUCGUUGCUUUGAUCUGCUUCCUCAUCACCAAUCCCAGCGUCUCGUCCCAUCCAUGCCACUUGUGCACGGAUUCCUGCACACCGGCGGUCCGCGUGCAAGGAGACGAAGUAGCGGCACGCCGGCACCAAAUUGCAUUAGCUGCAACGGCUCUCCUCGCCUUGAGGAACGAGGGGAGAGAGAGAGGAAAGGAAGAUAGAUGAGG
Oryza sativa Japonica Group (Japanese rice) is the source of this 3283-nucleotide long non-coding RNA. RefSeq lists it as uncharacterized. Lineage: Eukaryota; Viridiplantae; Streptophyta; Magnoliopsida; Poales; Poaceae. The record is from RefSeq and is a predicted model, not a curated record.